CUGGUCUCAAAGAACCAAUUCUGUGAUGGUUUUGUCCAUUUAGACGGAAACAAUAAGGCCCACCUCCAUUAUUAUUCCAGAGAAAGGUGGGAGGAUGCGUGAGGAGAGGAAAUUUGACAGAGCCUUUUCGACAGCAUAAUGAGAAAGCUGGAUUUUCAGACCUAGAAGUACACAACAAAUAGCAAUGUUAUACAACAAAUGACAAUAUCAAUGUCAACAGCAUAUGAGGCAAGGAAACAGGUACAAUUAUUUGACAUGAAAAUAAUGUUGUACAUUAUCUUCCAUUUGCACGUGAGAAUCGUCGAAUGAUGAAUCAUAUGAUAUUUGUUCCAUCCUUGUACGCUUGAUAAUAACCGGG
This is a long non-coding RNA of Asparagus officinalis (garden asparagus), 358 nucleotides long. RefSeq lists it as uncharacterized. Lineage: Eukaryota; Viridiplantae; Streptophyta; Magnoliopsida; Asparagales; Asparagaceae. The transcript is spliced from 4 exons. The record is from RefSeq and is a predicted model, not a curated record.